GUUCGUGGUGAAGAAGACUGUGGGUGAGGACGGCAAGAUCUUCGGCAGCGUCACCACGCAGGACGUCGUCGACGCGGUGAAGCAGCAGACCAGCAAGGAGCUCGACAAGAAGGCCAUGACCGUGCCGGAUAUCAGCGAAGUGGGCACCUACGAGGUCACCGUCAAGCUCCACCCCGAGGUGACCGGCAAGUUCAACCUCGAGGUCCAGAAGGCGUAAUUGUUUGCAGACGAUGUAGCGCGCAGCGGGAGAUUUAGAGUUGACCAUUUUUUGGAUGGCGAUGGGACGGAUCGCUUGUUAGAGGGGGGGGAGGAGCAGAGCUCCGUGUCGCCAC
RNAcentral lists this long non-coding RNA (332 nucleotides) under Micromonas commoda. RNAcentral describes it as "long non-coding RNA (MCOM_LNC000396)". The record is from RNAcentral. Lineage: Eukaryota; Viridiplantae; Chlorophyta; Mamiellophyceae; Mamiellales; Mamiellaceae.